CUUCUCACAUCUUACCUGCCUCCUCCCUUGUUGAGACAUCGUUUGAAGACUCAUACAACUGUGAUUCACCAACUGGACAAGGCUUUGGCAAAGCUGGGGAUUGGCCAGCUGACUGCUCAGGAAGUAAAAUCGAUAGGUGUCGAACUUGGCUGGGAGAAUGGCUGCAGAUUUCCUGCAGCCUGAAAGAAGCUGAGCUGUCUCUCUUGCUGCACAACGUGGUCCUGCUCUCCACCAACUACCUUGGGACAAGGCGCUGAAUGAACCGUGGAGCGGAUGGCAUUGUCCUGCAGUUGCAUAAUAUAGCAGUGCAGGAACAGACAGCACUUGCCAGCAAAGUCUGUGUGUACUGUUAAGUGUGUGGGAGGCGGAGAGAGGAGCAGGGGCCAUGGGCUUCACAGCAUGGCACACAUGUGGGAACUGCAGACAUUCCCCUCACAGCUAGAACUGAAACAAACCCUCUUGCCAGGGGUGGCCC
This 475-nucleotide small RNA is filed under the name Pongo abelii (Sumatran orangutan). Its description in RNAcentral is "processed transcript". The record is from RNAcentral. Lineage: Eukaryota; Metazoa; Chordata; Mammalia; Primates; Hominidae.